Molecule: ribosomal RNA, 500 nt
Filed under: uncultured bacterium
Lineage: Bacteria
Description: bacterial SSU rRNA
Rfam family: Bacterial small subunit ribosomal RNA
Source: RNAcentral
CGAAGCGAAAGCGGAGCGACCCUUCGGGGAGCAAUCACAGGUGCUGCAUGGCUGUCGUCAGCUCGUGUCGUGAGAUGUUCGGUUAAGUCCGCUAACGAGCGCAACCCUCGCCGCGUGUUACAAGUGUCACGCGGGACUGCCAGUCUUAAGCUGGAGGAAGGUGGGGAUGACGUCAAGUCAGCAUGGCCUUUAUGUCCUGGGCUACACACACGCUACAAUGGCCGGUACAAUGGGUCGCGAAGUCGCGAGGCGAAGCCAAUCCACAAGGCCGGUCUCAGUUCAGAUUGCAGGCUGCAACCCGCCUGCAUGAAGACGGAGUUGCUAGUAACCGCAGGUCAGCUAUACUGCGGUGAAUACGUUCCCGGGCCUUGUACACACCGCCCGUCACGUCAUGGGAGCUGGUAACACCUGAAGCCGGUAUUCUAACCGCAAGGAGGGAGCCGUCGAGGGUGGGGCUGGUGACUGGGACGAAGUCGUAACAAGGUAGGUGUACCGGAAGG